UAAAGGGCAUGUUGGUCUCUUCUCCAUCCAACCUUGCUGGGGUUCACUCCUGACUUGUCUUUCAUGGUCUCUGGUGUCUCUGCCGCAGCCUAUUGUCCCGCUCUGACCUGUACAGGUCGUGGGAGUGUAGGAGGGACUCAGGGAGCCCCGGAAACCUAGAAAUGGGAACCUCAGCACCAUUACCACCUCACAGUCUCUGCAGGCAGGAUCUGAGCUGCGUUUACCUUGCUCCAGGAGAACAGUUUUGGAGAUCCUGGAUUAUCCUGUGACCGAAAUACUCCGAUAGAUCUAAGAAGAGAAGUUUAUUUCAUUUUUUAAAAAGA
Hipposideros armiger (great roundleaf bat) is the source of this 323-nucleotide long non-coding RNA. RefSeq lists it as uncharacterized. The record is from RefSeq and is a predicted model, not a curated record. The transcript has 3 exons. Lineage: Eukaryota; Metazoa; Chordata; Mammalia; Chiroptera; Hipposideridae.